RNAcentral lists this ribosomal RNA (482 nucleotides) under uncultured bacterium. RNAcentral's name for it is "bacterial SSU rRNA". It matches the Rfam family "Bacterial small subunit ribosomal RNA", at positions 15 to 518 of the family's 1533-position model. The record is from RNAcentral.
GAUUCUGGCUCAGGACGAACGCUGGCGGCAUGCCUAACACAUGCAAGUCGAACGGGGGUAGCAAUACCCUAGUGGCGAACGGGUGAGUAACACAUAAGCAAUCUGCCCUUCACAGGGGGAUAACAGCGGGAAACUGCUGCUAAUACCGCAUAAGACCACGGUACCGCACGGUACAGGGGUAAAAACGAAUCAGUGGUGAAGGAUGAGCUUAUGUCCCAUUAGCUAGUUGGUGAGAUAACAGCCCACCAAGGCGACGAUGGGUAGCCGACCUGAGAGGGUGAUCGGCCACACUGGAACUGAGACACGGUCCAGACUCCUACGGGAGGCAGCAGUGGGGAAUAUUGGGCAAUGGAGGAAACUCCUUACCCAGCAAUGCCGCGUGAGUGAAGAAGGUCUUCGGAUUGUAAAGCUCUUUGAUUGGGGACGAAGAAAGUGACGGUACCCAAAGAACAAGCCCCGGCUAACUACGUGCCAGCAGCUGC